CAUUGUGUGCGUGUGCCUUGUUCACAAAAAACACAAACAAUGAAACAAUUAGAUGAUAUAUUUAGGUACAGUUGUAAACACACAAAUUGCUGAGGAUGUCUUAAGUCAAGUUGAUAUUUGACUCAAAUUUAAAAUAACCAAAAUACGAACAAUUUAAAAAGUUUUCAGCCAAUAUUAUUAAAAAUAUUGAUUACUAUAAUGCACAAUUAUAAAGUACUUAACAUUUUUACUUUAGUAUAUAUUGUAAGUUUGGAAUACAUAAAUGUUAAUAUAAUACUGUACAUAUUGAAGUGGUAUUCGGGACAAAAUGACCUCAAUCUGUUGGCCUCUGGACUUCUUAUCCAUUGACCUCAAGCUUUCAGUUUAUAAGAAGGUCUGGUUUACAUGACUGAAGCAUAGACAAUUUUCAGGAUAUGAGUGCCAAUAUGCCAAAUUUAAUAAGCACAACUGGCAUUGUGGGACCAAAUGCCAGGAGAAAGUGCCUGAUAAAAGAUAUUCAUGAGAUCCUAAGAAAGAUACAUACAGAUUACCCAAUAUUUAUUCACUUAAGUAAAUUGGCCAGUCUGCAAAAUCUUAAGUCAAGGUUUGCUUUUAAUAACAAAAUUUUAUUGAGAUUUAAAAUAUUUAUAACUUUAAAACCAUUGAUCAAAUUGUUCGUCGGUUGGAAUAAUGACUUACAUUAAAAUAAGAAAUAAUAAAACAUUUGAAUCAAUUGUUUUUUUAAUGCC
This 728-nucleotide long non-coding RNA is filed under the name Androctonus crassicauda. Lineage: Eukaryota; Metazoa; Arthropoda; Arachnida; Scorpiones; Buthidae. The record is from RNAcentral.